GACGAACGCUGGCGGCGUGCUUAACACAUGCAAGUCGAACGGAAAGGCCCUGCUUUUGUGGGGUGCUCGAGUGGCGAACGGGUGAGUAACACGUGAGUAACCUGCCCUUGACUUUGGGAUAACUUCAGGAAACUGGGGCUAAUCCCGGAUAGGAGCUCCUGCUGCAUGGUGGGGGUUGGAACGUUUCGGCGGUUGGGGAUGGACUCGCGGCUUAUCAGCUUGUUGGUUGGGUAGUGGCUUACCAAGGCUUUGACGGGUAGCCGGCCUGAGAGGGUGACCGGCCACAUUGGGACUGAGAUACGGCCCAGACUCCUACGGGAGGCAGAAGUGGGGAAUAUUGCACAAUGGGCGGAAGCCUGAUGCAGCAACGCCGCGUGCGGGAUGACGGCCUUCGGGUUGUAAACCGCUUUCGCCUGUGACGAAGCGUGAGUGACGGUAAUGGGUAAAGAAGCACCGGCUAACUACGUG
RNAcentral lists this ribosomal RNA (468 nucleotides) under uncultured bacterium. RNAcentral's name for it is "partial 16S ribosomal RNA". It matches the Rfam family "Bacterial small subunit ribosomal RNA", at positions 28 to 507 of the family's 1533-position model. The record is from RNAcentral.